Molecule: ribosomal RNA, 31 nt
Filed under: Gyrodactylus salmonis
Lineage: Eukaryota; Metazoa; Platyhelminthes; Monogenea; Gyrodactylidea; Gyrodactylidae
Description: partial 16S ribosomal RNA
Source: RNAcentral
UUUAGUUAUAAAGACUACCAAGAUUAUACUA